Molecule: unclassified non-coding RNA, 301 nt
Filed under: Hypomyces sp.
Lineage: Eukaryota; Fungi; Ascomycota; Sordariomycetes; Hypocreales; Hypocreaceae
Description: partial contains 5.8S ribosomal RNA, internal transcribed spacer 2, and large subunit ribosomal RNA
Rfam family: 5.8S ribosomal RNA (bases 1-71)
Source: RNAcentral
GUGAGUCAUCGAAUCUUUGAACGCACAUUGCGCCCGCCAGUAUUCUGGCGGGCAUGCCUGUUCGAGCGUCAUUUCAACCCUCAAGCCCCCCUGGGGGCUUGGUGUUGGGGACCGGCCCUGCCCCGUCGCAGGAGCCGCCCCCGAAAUACAUUGGCGGUCUCGCCGCAGCCUCCUCUGCGUAGUAAUUGCACCUCGCACCGGAGCGCGGCUCGGCCACGCCGUUAAACCCCAACUUCUGAAAGGUUGACCUCGGAUCAGGUAGGAAUACCCGCUGAACUUAAGCAUAUCAAUAAGCGGAGGA